RNAcentral lists this ribosomal RNA (253 nucleotides) under uncultured bacterium. Its description in RNAcentral is "partial 16S ribosomal RNA". It matches the Rfam family "Bacterial small subunit ribosomal RNA", at positions 524 to 776 of the family's 1533-position model. The record is from RNAcentral.
UACGAGGGGGGCAAGCGUUGUUCGGAAUUAUUGGGCGUAAAGGGCGCGUAGGCGGUUUUUCAAGUCAGAUGUGAAAUAUCCGGGCUUAACCCGGAGGGGUCAUUUGAAACUGAGAGACUAGAGUACAGCAGAGGAUAGCGGAAUUCCCGGUGUAGUGGUGAAAUGCGUAGAUAUCGGGAGGAACACCAGUGGCGAAGGCGGCUAUCUGGGCUGAAACUGACGCUGAGGCGCGAAGGCUAGGGGAGCAAACAGG